AGCUGCAGUUGCCAGCCUAUGCCACAGCCAUGGCAAUGCUAAAUCUGAGCUGCAUCUACGACCUAAGCUGCAGCUGGUGGCCACACUGGCUCGUUAACCCACUGAGGCCAGGGAUCGGAUCAGCACCCUCAUGGAUACUAGUCCAUUUCUUCACCAACUGAGCCACAACAGGAACUCCUGAAGUUACUUUUUUAGUGAGGAGAACCUGGGCUUUGGAGUCAGACCUGGUGCACAUUCAAGGUUGGGCACCUUCUGCAUGGGAUCCCCGGCAGGUUUCCCAUCCUCCUGGAGGUCCAGUGUCCUCCGGUGUGAAGUCUCUCAUGCAGUUGGGGGGAACUGAACACAGCACGAGAAGCACCCAGGAUGGCCAGUGUCCGACCCAGGACCUGGGGUCAUCAGUUCCCUCUGUCCUCCUGUGAGAUACCGAAGAGGAUGUGAGCUGAAGCUCCACUUCCUUCCUACCCCCCUGCACCCCUCAUUUUCCUGCACAGGGGAAAGUGUCGCUACCAUUCACAUGCAGAAUGUCAGACCACGAAAGUAAAUAAUCUUCAAGCUAGAAAGGACCUGGAGAUCACCUAGGCUGGUGGCUUUUAACUUUUCAUAGGGUGAUGAAAGGCAAGUUCACUUUGGAAAAAGGGCACAAAUGGCCCAAAUUUGUAGUCAAGGUUUUGAUGACUACAGCUUUCUGAAGGAUGGGACCUGCUCCUUCAUGGUUAUCCAAAGCACCUUUGUCAUGGCCUUACACCAAGAACUUUGUACUCAGGACAUGGCUUUGUAGUACAUAGUCAGUUGCCUGGCUAAAUUGCUAAGGGAAGACAAUGUUCCCGUGUCACAAAUAUUUUAACCUAGCGUUUGGGAGCUUUGUUCCCAGAUGAGUAAAUAAGCAUCAUGAGUACAAAUUUAACAGACUCAAAGUGGGGGGAGGGGGGCUUUUGCAAAAUCCCUGUUCCCAGGAAAUCAAAUCCCAUAUGGCAAACUACAUGCUCUGCAAAACCGCCAGCCUGAAUGUGACGCCCCAGUUUGGAAGUGAGCCUCCAAUGCCAUUUCAGAUGUAGUUCUCUAGGUUGCUCUAAGCACCAAAUGUGUUUGUUUUGCUUUUAACGCUUUGGAAGCUCAGAACAAAUUCCAAGUGUUGGCAAACUGUUGGCUGCCUCAAUCUGGUUUCCGCCCACACCAGGCUGCUGAGACUUUGUGAAGGGCACUGGUGGCUCCCGCACUGCCAAGCCCAGUGGCCUCCUUUUGGUCUGCAUCUUCUGCCCACGGGUCAGCCUUGAAUUCUGAUGACCCCUCCCUAUCCUAGCUUCCUGAGUUGGCUACCGCACGUUCUUCAGGCUUUUCUCAGACCUGGGAGUACUCUUUGUCUCAUGAUGACACUUGAUGGGUCCCUUUCCUAGGCUUUAUCCCCACACAUGACUUCAAUGGCCACCCGUUUGCCAGGGUCUUCCUCAAAAGCCUCUUUAGCAAAGACCUCUCUUCUGAGUUGCUCCACACCUGAAUCUCACCUGUCUACCUCUGUCUCCAUGUUGACACCUUUUUGCAUCUGAAUCAGUCCAGGAAACAUCUGAGCCCAUCACUUCUAGGAUCACAACAUACUUGUAACAGCCCUUUGUACCAUUCACUCAUUCACCAAGCAUUUACUGGGCCUCAGUUAUGUGCCAGGCUCUGUGUUAGGCUGCACGAUCAAGGAAAUUGAUUUCUGGCCCAACCCUAAAGAGAGAAGGAAGCCACUGUCUCAGAUAAAGUCCAAGCUGUGACUCUUUCUUCUAGAAUAUCUCCCCAAACCUCUGCUCACUUGGAUAAGACCCCACCAAUGAGGGGCCAUGUGUGCUGCUGCACAUGUCCUCCUUCUCUUCUGUUAUCUUCUCUUCCUGCUGUGACCCCAUCGAAGGUUGCAAAGGCAGCUGGUGAUGGACGCCCAACUGCUGUGGGUGAGAUUCAGGACUCCAGCCAAGGAUGGCCUUCACAUCUCACCCUUUAGAGGAACUAUAAAACCUAAGUCAUCCAGGGGAACUCUGAUGGUGAGCCCCCCCACCCCACACCAGCCAGUCAGCCCUGGCUGACUCUUUUCCUGCACCCAGAAGGGACUUAGCCACCAUCAGUGACAGAGGGGCCAAGACACACCUGACUUCAGCCUGGGCUACAAACCAUAUCCCUGAGAGCAGAUGAGCACAUCUCUUCAAGGUCUUUAUUUUUCCUCUCUCUGAGGGGAAGUUGAGGCUACUGUUUUUGGCGAUCUGAAGGAGCUGACCUUCUUGGCACACACUUGGGGAGUAAGGCUAACCACAAAUAUUGAAUGUGCAUUUACUAGAACACAAGUAUGCGACAUGGUUUCCAUACUACACACCGUUCAAUGGUUUACAUAUAUAUUAUUGUACAUAAUACUUCCAAUAACCUCACGAGGUGGGCGUAUUAGUGUCCCUAUUCCACAGAUACAGAAAGUGGGCCAGAGAGUGAGCAACGUAUACAGAAAGAGUAAGGAGCUGAGCCAGAGUUUGAACCCAGGCUUUCAGGCUGCAGGGCCUUCGGUCUGCUUCUUCCCUAAUGAGAUGAUAACGUGAGCACUUAAUUCCUGGCAUCCUUCCUCUGCUGGCAGAGGCUGACAUGGACUCUCUCAUCUCCAUGGACAACCAGGCGGGCAGCAUCGGGCACUCAUUUUCAAAACUGAACCCAUGAUUACUUCUCCGACAUUGUCCUUGUCCUGGAUUUGUUAGAAGCAUCCCUAAUUACACACUCCCCCAAGACAGAAACCUCAGCAUCAACUGUUAACAUAAAAGUUUGAUGAGAGGACUGGGAGGUGGACGUACAUGCUACCAAGUCCAAAGUCAAGUAAGUUGCCCUCCCAUCUGCCCUGCCGUGCGAUGGGCUGGAUUAGAUUGAAAGGAUGCUGUCACAAAAGCCAAAGAGUGCCAGCGGCUCCCAGAAGCUGGGAGGGAAAAGGAAGUCUCCCCCUCCAGACACUUGAGAGGGAGCACAGCCCUGCCAACCUUGACUUUGGACUCUAGCCUUCAGAACCAUGAGACAAUAAACGUCUAUUGUUUUAAGCCACUUAGGCUGUGGUACUUUGCUACAGCAGUCCUAGAAAACCAGUCUAAUCAGUUUUCUAACUGCCCUCUUUAUCUACAAGUCUGGAUAUGGGUUUCAUAUCUAUCUGUCCAGAGACAUUUGAAUUGCAGGUAGCAAAUACUCAUGUAUAUACUUCACACAAGGGUGGCACCUCAUGCGCUAUUCUUUAUGGCCCUUUUCACUUAUAAAUACACCAGGACUAAUUUUAAACACUGUGGUAAAGUAUAUACAACAUAACAUUUACCAUUUUACAAUUCUUUUCUUUUUUCCUUUUUUAGGGGCGCACCCAUGGCAUAUAGAAGUUCCCAGGCUCAGGGUCGAAUUCAAACCAGCUUAUGCCACAGCCACAGCAACACUGGAUCCAAGCUGCAUCUGGGACCUAUGCUGCAGCUUGCAGCAAUGCCAGAUCCUUAACCCACUGAGUGAAGCCAGAGAUCGAGUCCACAUUCUCAUGGAUACUAGUCUGGUUCUUAACCCACUGAGCCACAAUAGGAACUCCACUAUUUUACCACUUUUUUUUUUUU
This 3587-nucleotide long non-coding RNA is filed under the name Sus scrofa (pig). RNAcentral's name for it is "lncRNA (ENSSSCG00015000767.1)". Lineage: Eukaryota; Metazoa; Chordata; Mammalia; Artiodactyla; Suidae. The record is from RNAcentral.